This 519-nucleotide ribosomal RNA is filed under the name uncultured bacterium. RNAcentral describes it as "bacterial SSU rRNA". It matches the Rfam family "Bacterial small subunit ribosomal RNA", at positions 1 to 525 of the family's 1533-position model. The record is from RNAcentral.
UAGAGUUUGAUCCUGGCUCAGGACGACCGUUGGCGGCGUGCCUAACACAUGCAAGUCAACUUGACUGAAGGCUCAAUCUGACAGUAGAGUGGCGCAAGGGUGCGUAACGCGUAAGUAACUUGCCCCAAGGUAAGGAAUAACGUCGAGAAAUCGGCGCUAAUACCUCAUAAUGCAGCGGAUCCGCAUGGAUAUGUUGUUAAAGGUUUACCGCCUUGGGAUAGGCUUGCGUCUGAUUAGCUAGUUGGUGUGGUAACGGCACACCAAGGCUACGAUCAGUAACUGGUCUGAGAGGAUGAUCAGUCACACUGGAACUGAGACACGGUCCAGACUCCUACGGGAGGCAGCAGUGAGGAAUAUUGGGCAAUGCUCGAAAGAGUGACCCAGCAACGCCGCGUGGAGGAUGAAGGUAUUCUAUAUCGUAAACUCCUGUGAGAGCAGACGAAAGACAGAUUAUUAAUCUGGAUGACUGUAUGCUCAGAGGAAGCCCCGGCUAACUACGUGCCAGCAGCCGCGGUAAUA